CCUACGGGGUGCUGCAGUGGGGAAUAUUGGACAAUGGGCGAAAGCCUGAUCCAGCCAUGCCGCGUGUGUGAAGAAGGCCUUCGGGUUGUAAAGCACUUUCAGUGGGGAAGAAAGCCUUGGGGCUAAUACCCUCGAGGAAGGACAUCACCCACAGAAGAAGCACCGGCUAACUCCGUGCCAGCAGCCGCGGUAAUACGGAGGGUGCGAGCGUUAAUCGGAAUUACUGGGCGUAAAGCGCGCGUAGGCGGUCUGAUAAGCCGGUUGUGAAAGCCCGGGGCUCAACCUGGGAACGGCAUCCGGAACUGUCAGGCUAGAGUGCAGGAGAGGAAGGUAGAAUUCCCGGUGUAGCGGUGAAAUGCGUAGAGAUCGGGAGGAAUACCAGUGGCGAAGGCGGCCUUCUGGACUGACACUGACGCUGAGGUGCGAAAGCGUGGGUAGCAAACAGGAUUAGAUACCCUAGUAGUC
RNAcentral lists this ribosomal RNA (465 nucleotides) under Vreelandella stevensii. RNAcentral's name for it is "partial 16S ribosomal RNA". It matches the Rfam family "Bacterial small subunit ribosomal RNA", at positions 338 to 795 of the family's 1533-position model. The record is from RNAcentral. Lineage: Bacteria; Pseudomonadati; Pseudomonadota; Gammaproteobacteria; Oceanospirillales; Halomonadaceae.